GAUCAUGGCUCAGGAUGAACGCUAGCUACAGGCUUAACACAUGCAAGUCGAGGGGCAUCAUGGAGUUGCUUGCAAACUCUGAGUGGCGACCGGCGCGACGGUGAGUAACGCGUAUCCAACCUCCCUAUAGUAGAGGAUAGCCCGGCGAAAGUCGGAUUAAUACUCUAUGUUUUCCGUUGCAGACAUCUAAGAUGGAACAAAGGCUUGCCGCUAUAGGAUGGGGAUGCGUCUGAUUAGGUAGUCGGCGGGGUAACGGCCCACCGAGCCAUCGAUCAGUAGGGUUCUGAGAGGAAGGUCCCCCACAUUGGAACUGAGACACGGUCCAAACUCCUACGGGAGGCAGCAGUGAGGAAUAUUGGUCAAUGGGCGAGAGCCUGAACCAGCCAAGUAGCGUGCAGGACGACGGCCCUAUGGGUUGUAAACUGUCUUUUAUGGCGGGGAUAAAGUUUACUACGUGUAGUGUUUUGUAGGUACCGCAUGAAUAAGGACCGGCUAAUUCCGUGCCAGCAGCGGC
This 514-nucleotide ribosomal RNA is filed under the name uncultured bacterium. RNAcentral describes it as "bacterial SSU rRNA". It matches the Rfam family "Bacterial small subunit ribosomal RNA", at positions 15 to 518 of the family's 1533-position model. The record is from RNAcentral.